AGACUUCACAGUCCUGCUCUUACUUGAAAAAUAUUUUAGAAGAUACCUUUCUUGUUCUAUUAGCACUACUUCAUCUAUGAUCAGCUCUGGUGUGAAGGAAACUACAAGCUGGGAAAGCAAUUUCCCAAAUAAAUGAGGAGAAAGGAAAAUAUCCACAUUAUUGCAAGCUGAAUUUUUAAAUUUCAGAUCACAGGAACUGCUUUGAGUUAAAUAAGAACACAGAAAGCAGAGACUUCUUCCAAAGAAAUAAAACUUCAAAAAAAAAAAAAAAACAGAUGACAACACAGAAAAUUGCCUUCAAAAGGGCAUAAUAUAUUAUCUGAACAAUAUACAGUACCUUAUCUAAAUUGAAUAGUUUUAUCCUGCAACCAUUUAUGGAAAAGCAGAGUACAGAAUGAGCACUGAAAGUUUGUAUAGCUCCUCUUCCCUUUCUCAUCUUUGCUUCAAACACGAGAACAAAAGGCUAAGAGCAAUAAACUAAAGAGCUGAAAAAAUCUACACUGUAAAGAAGUAAUUCAAAGAACAAGGAAGAAAGAAAUACAAGAGGAGGAAGGGAACAAAGAGAGGACAAAGGAAGCAGAACAAGGGAAACAAGUGUCCUAUCAUUCUCAAGAUACUGUUAUGUGUCUACAUGUAAACCAGGUUGCUGGUGACUAACACAAUAAACUGUUCGUAGCAUGCUGAAAUUGUCACUUGACCACUUCAUUGUCCCUUAUUUUUUGCUUUCUCCUGUCCUAUAUUUUUCUUUCUUCCUUUUUCUUUCUGCCUGUAAUUCCUGUAUGCUGUCUAACACCAUGAUAUUUAAAAGCCUCUGUCUACCCUUUGCUGCCAAUUGCUAUUGUUUUUGCCUCACUACAGCUAAGCUCAUUGAAUUGCUUUGGAAAGAGCUCAAACUCCUAUCCAAACCUCUGGAGGCAACACAACAAAGCAGAGAGAGACCACAGCCAAAAGUGAGAGAAGCCUGGGCCAAAGAUGCUGAUUUUCUAUGUCAUGAUGGUGUCCCAUGGCCCCUGUGAAGUUUGGCUCCCUGUUGUACUACUCUUCCAGAAGCAGAGAAGAAGAAACAAUCUCUGUGCCAAAGAGCUUGCAAGUAAGCAAGUCCUCUGUGGUAGAUAAUUUUUCCUUAAUGAGCACGUGUACCUUCAUACUGCCCAGGUUCCUGUUAGGUUACUAAAUCAUUCUUCCAGCCUCCUGCCUUCUUGCUAUACACCAACAUGGAUUUUGGAGACUGGAGCUUCAAACUUCAUCAGAGUUACGCUAUGUCUGAAUUCUAGCCAAAAGAUAGCACUCAAAAUGAAUAAGACAUAUCAAGGUAGAACCUGUUCAGAGGACAGAAUGUGAUAAAAGAAUUAGCAAUUUUGAAAAAAAAAAAUGCAGUUAAAGAUGAAAACAAAGAAAUAAUAUUGGCAAGUGGAAAACCAUUUCAAACAGGUUUAUUAAGGUAAGACUGAUUGAACUCCUCCCCUUCCCCUCAUUCUGGCCCAGUUUUGGUACUUAAGAGGCAUAGAAUUACAAUUCGCUACUUGAUUUUUUUUGUUUGUGUGUGGGAGUACUUGGUUACCGUAGAAUCAUGGAAUGGCUUAGGUUGGAAGAGAUAUUAAAGAUCAUCCUGCUUCAAACUCUCUGUCAUGGGCACAGUUGCCACCCAUCAGAUCAGGCUGCCCCGGGCCCCAUCCAACCUGUUUUUGAACACCUCCAGAGUUGAGACAUCCAUGCUUUCUCUGGACACCCUGUGCCAGCACCUCACCACCCUCUGUGUAAAGCAUUUCCUCCUAACAUAAACAGGUCAGAAUUAAAAAUUUAUAAAUAAAUUGAUAAUGAAUUAAGGAUAGUUAUUUUAG
Molecule: long non-coding RNA, 1841 nt
Organism: Numida meleagris (helmeted guineafowl)
Lineage: Eukaryota; Metazoa; Chordata; Aves; Galliformes; Numididae
Source: Ensembl